This 477-nucleotide ribosomal RNA is filed under the name uncultured bacterium. RNAcentral's name for it is "bacterial SSU rRNA". It matches the Rfam family "Bacterial small subunit ribosomal RNA", at positions 31 to 507 of the family's 1533-position model. The record is from RNAcentral.
GAACGCUGGCGGCGUGCCUAACACAUGCAAGUCAACUUGACUGAAGGAGCAAUCUGACAGUAGAGUGGCGCAAGGGUGCGUAACGCGUAAGUAACUUGCCCCAAGGUAAGGAAUAACGUCGAGAAAUCGGCGCUAAUACCUCAUAAUGCAGCGGAUCCGCAUGGAUAUGUUGUUAAAGGUUUACCGCCUUGGGAUAGGCUUGCGUCUGAUUAGCUAGUUGGUGUGGUAACGGCACACCAAGGCUACGAUCAGUAACUGGUCUGAGAGGAUGAUCAGUCACACUGGAACUGAGACACGGUCCAGACUCCUACGGGAGGCAGCAGUGAGGAAUAUUGGGCAAUGCUCGAAAGAGUGACCCAGCAACGCCGCGUGGAGGAUGAAGGUAUUCUAUAUCGUAAACUCCUGUGAGAGCAGACGAAAGACAGAUUAUUAAUCUGGAUGACUGUAUGCUCAGAGGAAGCCCCGGCUAACUACGUG